RNAcentral lists this small nuclear RNA (107 nucleotides) under Castor canadensis (American beaver). The record is from RNAcentral. Lineage: Eukaryota; Metazoa; Chordata; Mammalia; Rodentia; Castoridae.
GUGCUUGCUUCGGCAGCACAUAUACUAAAAUUGGAACGAUACAGAGAAGAUUAGCAUGGCCCCUGCCCAAGGAUGACACGCAAAUUCGUGAAGCAUUCUAUAUUAAA